RNAcentral lists this ribosomal RNA (490 nucleotides) under uncultured bacterium. RNAcentral's name for it is "partial 16S ribosomal RNA". It matches the Rfam family "Bacterial small subunit ribosomal RNA", at positions 30 to 507 of the family's 1533-position model. The record is from RNAcentral.
AUUGAACGCUGGCGGCAGGCCUAACACAUGCAAGUCGAACGGUAACAGGAAGCAGCUUGCUGCUUUGCUGACGAGUGGCGGACGGGUGAGUAAUGUCUGGGAAACUGCCUGAUGGAGGGGGAUAACUACUGGAAACGGUAGCUAAUACCGCAUAACGUCGCAAGACCAAAGAGGGGGACCUUAGGGCCUCUUGCCAUCGGAUGUGCCCAGAUGGGAUUAGCUAGUAGGUGGGGUAACGGCUCACCUAGGCGACGAUCCCUAGCUGGUCUGAGAUGAUGACCAGCCACACUGGAACUGAGACACGGUCCAGACUCCUACGGGAGGCAGCAGUGGGGAAUAUUGCACAAUGGGCGCAAGCCUGAUGCAGCCAUGCCGCGUGUAUGAAGAAGGCCUUCGGGUUGUAAAGUACUUUCAGCGGGGAGGAAGGGAGUAAAGUUAAUACCUUGGCUCAUUGACGUUACCCGCAGAAGAAGCACCGGCUAACUCCGUG